RNAcentral lists this transfer RNA (154 nucleotides) under Cordyceps militaris CM01. It matches the Rfam family "tRNA". From Rfam's summary of the family: Transfer RNA (tRNA) molecules are approximately 80 nucleotides in length. Their secondary structure includes four short double-helical elements and three loops (D, anti-codon, and T loops). The record is from Rfam by way of RNAcentral. Lineage: Eukaryota; Fungi; Ascomycota; Sordariomycetes; Hypocreales; Cordycipitaceae.
GGUGAGAUGGCCGAGUUGGUAAGCAGCCCUGAACAACUAGCCCUUGUCAAUCACUAGUGCUAACAACUGUCAUAGGUUAUGGCGCCAGGUUAAGGACACCUUAAUAUGUUUCCUGGUGGAGCAAUCCUCAUGGGUUCGAAUCCCAUUCUCAUCA